GAGAUCGGUGAAGAGCCAGUGCGUGUGGCUCUUAUGUUUCUGUUAGCCCUUUAGAUGAUUUCAGAAAAUGUUUUUCACUUCUGGCUCUGUGGUCAUGAUGAUAGAAAAGGAAGAGAGACCAAUCCCAGUGCAUCCUGUGCCGAGGAGCAGGGUUGUAUUCCUCGCUUUGAAAGAGUUUUUUUAACUAAUUAAUUUUUGGGGAAGGGAUGAGCAAAUUCACUCAGCUUUUAAAGAAAUUCAUAGAAAAUUUUCCCACAGUAUUAGUUAAGGAAAAAAAAGAAAGCAAAGAAUUGUCAUUUUCCCAAGGCAUUGCUAUAGUCAAAAAAGGAAAAAUCUGGGAGCUUCUGAUCUUGUCCUGGACAGAAUUCACUAAAAGCCAGAACCUCAUUAACUGCAGCUUCAUUUCCACCUUCUUUAGGGUAGGAAUGUUUGUGCUACAGAGUCCUGUGGAAGUUCAGGCUGGUUCCCACUGGUGUCUGAGAAAUUGCAUCCAAAACUCUAGCAUGCUAUUAUUUCUAUAUAAUCUGUUCAUCUUGUCUGGUUGAGGAAUUGGAUGAAAAGUCGAGAUAGUAAUACUAUUUUAGAGUUUACAAAAGUGAAUCAUAGACUGUGUUAUCAUGUAUUUAUUUCACUAUGUGUGAGACAACCUAUUAAAGUCACAUAUUUGAGUCAGAAGUUGAUCUCCUGACACUUAGGGCCACCAAAACCAUCACUGCCAAAAAAUAAUGUGAAGGAGACAGGUCAAGAGGACCGCGGUGACAUAUCUGGAUGAUUAUGAUAGAUCCUAACAUCUUGAGAAGUAAAUUUAUUCACAAAAACUCUGGCAAAUGUGCCUUGAUCUGCCUCUCAGACAGCACCACGUGCCUGAAGUGAAGUGGAGAGUGUGUUUGCUCCUUUAUAAAAUGAGGCGAUUGGACCAGCUGUUGGUUUGGGAAAGAUGUUGUGUGGGCCCUUCCUGUCCUUUCUGGGGUUUGUGAUCACAGUGGAAGCGCAGCACUUUCACCCUCGACCUUACGGAUUCAUUGUCAUCUUGUCCUUGGCGGGCCUGUCAAAAAGAAGUAAUUUCGAAAGCAUAUCGCUGAUUGUACAUUUCAUUCCAUCAAGUGCUCAUGUAACUGCUGGAGGCCUCUGAGAUAAGAGUAGAAAAGUGCCCUGUGCCCUUCCGAGCAGUGGGUGAUCUAUUUUUGACUUGGAGACUGGUGACAAACCUGUCUUCUGUCAGGUCAAACUCACAGGGACUUUCUUGUUUUCUGUUCUUCUGUUGACAGCUGUGUCCAUGCUCAGUAUGGUCAUAGGGUAGUGGAAAGAUAGCUCUGGCAUUUAAACACCUAGAUAGGAAGGGGCGAUGGAAUGUAUUUUUCUUUGCUAUUUUGGUCAGCAAGUCCCUAGGAGUCCAUAAUGAGUGGUGAAGAAGUGAGGAGAGACCUCUGGGAGGAUGGGCAGGAAAAGACGCCCAGCUCCUGGUUUGGGAGACACAGAGCGAGAGACAUUUCUACCACUGGUGGCUUUAGUGUCUGGAAAGGGAAUGACUGGAAGGAAAAUGGAAAAUGAAGGAUGGAUUUGAGAAAGAACUCUGCACUAGGAGUCGAGCUGGGACACUUAGUUCUCCCACUGCAUUGCUGUGUGACCUUGGGAAGAUCACUUCACCACUCUGGAGCUGUGAAACACAGGGAACGGACUACAUCUUAAAUGAGAGAGGAUUUCUUGCAAUGUUAACAUUUUGUGACUUUAAAUUUCAUUCUGUGAUUGCUGCUUUUGAAGAAAACGUUCUGUCAACAUUUAACGUACAUACAGAAGAGUGGACAAAUCGUAUGUGCACAGCUCGUUGAAUUUACACCCUUCUAAUCAGCCCUAGAUUAAGAAAUAAAAUGUUAUCAACAUUCUAGAA
Molecule: long non-coding RNA, 1888 nt
Organism: Equus caballus (horse)
Lineage: Eukaryota; Metazoa; Chordata; Mammalia; Perissodactyla; Equidae
Source: RefSeq, a predicted model, not a curated record